GCUGAAAUGUGACUGAUGCA
Molecule: non-coding RNA, 20 nt
Filed under: Arabidopsis thaliana (thale cress)
Lineage: Eukaryota; Viridiplantae; Streptophyta; Magnoliopsida; Brassicales; Brassicaceae
Source: RNAcentral